UGGGAAAUUUUGGACAAUGGGCGCAAGCCUGAUCCAGCAAUGCCGCGUGCAGGAUGAAGGCCUUCGGGUUGUAAACUGCUUUUGUACGGAGCGAAAAGGUCUGCCCUAAUACGGUGGGCUCAUGACGGUACCGUAAGAAUAAGCACCGGCUAACUACGUGCCAGCAGCCGCGGUAAUACGUAGGGUGCGAGCGUUAAUCGGAAUUACUGGGCGUAAAGCGUGCGCAGGCGGUUGUGUAAGUCAGAUGUGAAAUCCCCGGGCUCAACCUGGGAACUGCAUUUGUGACUGUAUAGCUAGAGUACGGCAGAGGGGGAUGGAAUUCCGCGUGUAGCAGUGAAAUGCGUAGAUAUGCGGAGGAACACCGAUGGCGAAGGCAAUCCCCUGGGCCUGUACUGACGCUCAUGCACGAAAGCGUGGGGAGCAAACA
RNAcentral lists this ribosomal RNA (427 nucleotides) under uncultured bacterium. RNAcentral's name for it is "bacterial SSU rRNA". It matches the Rfam family "Bacterial small subunit ribosomal RNA", at positions 355 to 774 of the family's 1533-position model. The record is from RNAcentral.